Molecule: transfer RNA, 74 nt
Filed under: Caldisericia bacterium
Lineage: Bacteria; Pseudomonadati; Caldisericota; Caldisericia
Description: tRNA-Arg
Rfam family: tRNA
About the family: Transfer RNA (tRNA) molecules are approximately 80 nucleotides in length.
Source: RNAcentral
GCGCCUGUAGCUCAGUUGGAUAGAGCAUCUGCCUUCUAAGCAGGUGGCCGUGGGUUCGAGUCCCGCCAGGCGCA